This 497-nucleotide ribosomal RNA is filed under the name uncultured bacterium. Its description in RNAcentral is "partial 16S ribosomal RNA". It matches the Rfam family "Bacterial small subunit ribosomal RNA", at positions 28 to 507 of the family's 1533-position model. The record is from RNAcentral.
GACGAACGCUGGCGGCGUGCCUAAUACAUGCAAGUAGAACGCUGAAACUUGGUGCUUGCACCGAGCGGAUGAGUUGCGAACGGGUGAGUAACGCGUAGGUAACCUGCCUGGUAGCGGGGGAUAACUAUUGGAAACGAUAGCUAAUACCGCAUAAGAGUAGAUGUUGCAUGACAUUUGCUUAAAAGGUGCAAUUGCACCACUACCAGAUGGACCUGCGUUGUAUUAGCUAGUUGGUGGGGUAACGGCUCACCAAGGCGACGAUACAUAGCCGACCUGAGAGGGUGAUCGGCCACACUGGGACUGGGACACGGCCCAGACUCCUACGGGAGGCAGCAGUAGGGAAUCUUCGGAAAUGGACGGAAGUCUGACCGAGCAACGCCGCGUGAGUGAAGAAGGUUUUCGGAUCGUAAAGCUCUGUUGUAAGAGAAGAACGAGUGUGAGAGUGGAAAGUUCACACUGUGACGGUAUCUUACCAGAAAGGGACGGCUAACUACGUG